GCGCGGGGCGGGGAUUGGUCCGCGCUCCUCUCUUUUCUCAAGGUUCGCGGCGGCCGGCGAUUCCCGGGACACCUGCUGGCUUCGCCCGUCCCGCGGCGCCGGGCUUCCCUGCUGCGCUCCCGGUUCUCUGGGCGGGAAGAAGGGCUGAGCCGUCCAGUCGCCAACGGAACCCCGAGUGGCGCCGCUGAGCCGUCGCAGGGCGAGAUGAGCGCGGAUGCGGCGGCCGGGGCGCCCCUGCUCCGGCUCUGCUGCCUGGAGAAGGGUGCGAGCGGCUAGGGCUUCCACCUGCACGGCGAGAAGGGCAAGGUGGGCCUGUACCUCGCUGGUGGAGCCCGGCUCGGCGGCCGAGAAGGCGGGGCUGCUGGCCGGGACCGGCUGGUGGAGGUGAACGGCGAGACCCACCCGCGGGUGGUGAACGCAUCCGCGCCGCGCUAACGCCGUGCGCCUGCUGGAGGUCGACCCCGAGACGGACGAGCAGCUGCAGAAGCUCGGCGUCCAGGUCCGCGGGGAGCUGCUGCGCACCCAGGAAGCGCCGGGGCAGGGCGAGCCGCCGGCCGCCGCCGAGGCGCAGGGGGCUGGCAGUGAAAAUGAGCCCAGCGAGGGCGACACGAGCCGCCCGGAGCAGCUCAAGCUUCGGCCUCGGCUCUGUACCGUGAGGAAGGGCCCCAAUGGCUAUAGCUUCAGCCUGCACAGCGACAAGUCCAAGCCAGGCCAGUUCAUCUGGUCAGUGGACCCACACUCCCCAGCUGAAGCUUCAGGGCUCCGGGCGCAGGACGGCAUUGUGGUGGUGAACUGGGUCCGCAUGGAGGGGAAGCAGCAUGGGGACGUGGGGUCCGCCAUCAGGGCUGGCGGGGAUGAGACCAAGCUGCUGGUGGUGGACAGGGAGACGGACGAGUUCUUCAAGAAAUGCAAAGCGACUCCAUCUCAGGAGCACCUGAAUGGUCCCCUGCCUGAGCCCUUCACCAAUGGGGAGAUACAGAAGAACAGUCGUGAAGCCCUGGCAGAGGCAGCCACAGAGAGCCCCAGACCAGCCCUGGUGACGGCCUCCAGUUACACCAGCAAGGAGCUGAAUUCCCAAGACAGCCCCCCAAAACAGGAUUCCACAGUGCCCUAGUCUACCUCCUCCUCUGACCCCAUCCUGGAUUUCAACAUCUCCCUGGCCAUGGCCAAAGAGAGGGCCCACUGGAAGCACAGCAGCAAACGUGCCCCGCAGAUAGACUGGAGCAAGAAAAACGAACUCUUCAGCAACCUCUGAGCGCCCGCUGCCAGCCACCCAGUGACUGGCAGGACCGAGCCAGCCUUCCACCCCACCUUUUUCCUUCUCCGCAGUUACUCCCCUGAAUCGACAUACAAAUCAGCACCCACAUCCCCUUUCUUGACAAAUGAUUUUUCUAGAGAACUAUGUUCUUCCCUUACCUUAGGGAAGGUGAGUGUGUUCCUGUCCUCCCCCAAUCAGAAAGAAGACUCUGCC
Cebus imitator (Panamanian white-faced capuchin) is the source of this 1471-nucleotide RNA transcript. It is a transcript of the gene named Na(+)/H(+) exchange regulatory cofactor NHE-RF1-like, with no coding region annotated. The record is from RefSeq and is a predicted model, not a curated record. NCBI's taxonomy places the organism in Eukaryota, Metazoa, Chordata, Mammalia, Primates, Cebidae. The transcript has a single exon.